GUAAUUAAGGCAGAAGUAAACAGUAAGAGAAUAUCAAAUUGCAGCUUGCUUCAGUAAUAGGUGCCCAGGUGGAGCUGCAGCUUGUGCAGACCUGUGCCUUGAGACAGAAGGGCAGCCUCUCUGGGGAGCACUCUAACAGGUCCCCAGAUCUGACACAUCAAGAUUAAGUCCUGAAGAUUUGGAGCUGAGUGACAAGAAAGGUGUGAGCUGCCGUCACAGCAUGGCCACUGACAGACAAGUGGUGUGCUUCUGCACCUGGGAACCAAACACUGGGCUGCUGAAGUGGAGCACAUUGAACUUUAACCACUGGGCCAUUGGGGCUGGCCCCAUAUCAUCCUUUUUAAGAAUGAUUUUGAUUAUGAUUGUAAGCUGGACCAACAUCUGUCUUAAUUAAAGAAAGCUGUAAUUAUAAAAUAAUGAGUUUCAUUUUAUCUGUCAUUCUGUUAUUUGCUGCUCAUGAACUAGCUCUAGGGACAAUUUCAAAGAGGAGGUUUUUGUUGGAAUAAGUAUCUUCCUAGGUAUUAUUAUUAUUAUUAUUAUUAUUAUUAUUAUUAUAUUUUUUGGUGAGGAAGAUUGUUGCUGAGCUAACAUCUAUGCCAGUCUUCCUCUAUUUUGUAUGUGGGACACUGCCACAGCAUGGCUUGAUGAGUGGUAUGUAGGUCCGCACCCAGGAUCCAAACCCACAGACCUCUGGCUGCCAAAGUGGAGCAUGUGAACUCAACCACUAUGCCACCAGGCUGGCCCUCCCUAGGUAUUAUUCCAAAGGAAUCAAUAUUUAUAAUGGGCACUCCCUCUCGCCCUCUCACUUGCUCACUCUGAUGAAGCGAGCUGAGCUGCCCUCUUCUGAGCUGCCCUUCUAAGAGGCCCAUGUGGCAAAGACUGAGGGCCACCUCACUGAGAGACCAAAGCCCUCAGUCCAACAGCCCUUGAGGAACUGAAUCUUGCCAAUUCGGUAACUUGACUGAGUUUGGAAGUGGAUCCUUCCCCCGUUUAUCCAAGAGAUGGCUGCAGUCUCCGCUGACACCUUGAUUGCAGCCUUGUGAGAGACCCAAAGCUGGAGGACCCAGCUAAGCCACCGCCAGAUUCCUGACCUACCGGAACUGGAAUAAUUACACAACAACAGAUAAUUAAGACAAAUGAUAAUGUUCAUAACUAGCAUUCUUGAGUGUUAGCUGUAUGUCAGGCACUGUGCUAAGUGAUUUACGUGUGAUUUCUCUUUUCAUCUUCACAGCAGUCCCAUGAAGAAGAUAGUAGUAAUCUCAUUUUAUAGAUGGGGAAACUGAGGCUUAGAGGAAUUCGCCAAAGUUACAGAGCUAGUGAGUAAACUCAGAGUGUAAACCUGUGUAGUCUUGCUCUAGAGCCUGGGUGCUUAAACAGGGUGUUCUGUUUGCUCUGCUACAUCAACUAAUCCCUCUCAUCCUGAAUACACUUUUUGCUGAACUGGCUGGUUUUUUAAAUGGAACUACAUUGCUGUUUUUGAAUAAAGUAAUCCCAGGCCUGGGCCCUUGGUCACCUCAGAGAUGGGCAGGCAAAAGCCAGAGACGGGACCAGCAGCCUUGUGUGAAAAACAUAUUCCGAGCACUUGUGUUCUUUGAUUUGGAGCUGACAUUUGUCCUAGCCGUAGUAACGGAGGAGAGGGAAGGAUGAGAGUGGGGAAGGGUGAUUCAUUAUUUCAGCUCUUGUGUCAGCAUAUCAGACUGUGAGGAUGAAAACAAAUCAAGAGAGAAUGUUGUUGGGAUGGUUCGGAUAUGUUUCAGUUGGGACCUACCAAGAAAAAAGGAAAUAAUACGUAAAGUGUUGUGAUGUAAAACAAUUAUUGUGAGAAUAGUUAUAUUGCUUUUAAAAAAAAACUAUUUUGGAAAUAGCUUUUAUCUCUUUUAAUGUAACAGUAGUUAUUAUUACAUGCUUGAUAUAAUAAAAACAUGAAUAGAACAACUGAGAAAAUUAUAGAGAGUGGAUAUCACCCCCAGUCCCACCCAAUAGCAUUAAACAGAUGGAUAGUUUUUACUGUUUCAUAAUAUGUUUGCCUCUUAUUACGGCUAUCUUUUCAUGUCAAUAACUAGGUCGACAUCAUUGUUUGCAGUGUUCUGCUGUUAAGUAUGUUAAAUCAUUUAUCCAAAAUAAUUUCCUGGAUAUUUAAGUUGCUUCCAGUUUUCUGUAAUAAACAACUCCAUGAAAGGUCAC
Molecule: long non-coding RNA, 2184 nt
Organism: Equus caballus (horse)
Lineage: Eukaryota; Metazoa; Chordata; Mammalia; Perissodactyla; Equidae
Source: Ensembl